RNAcentral lists this ribosomal RNA (497 nucleotides) under uncultured bacterium. RNAcentral describes it as "partial 16S ribosomal RNA". It matches the Rfam family "Bacterial small subunit ribosomal RNA", at positions 28 to 507 of the family's 1533-position model. The record is from RNAcentral.
GAUGAACGCUGGCGGCGUGCCUAAUACAUGCAAGUCGAGCGAACGGACGAGAAGCUUGCUUUUCUGAUGUUAGCGGCGGACGGGUGAGUAACACGUGGAUAACCUACCUAUAAGACUGGGAUAACUUCGGGAAACCGGAUCUAAUACCGGAUAAUAUUUUGAACCGCAUGGUUCAAAAGUGAAAGACGGUCUUGCUGUCACUUAUAGAUGGAUCCGCGCUGCAUUAGCUAGUUGGUAAGGUAACGGCUUACCAAGGCAACGAUGCAUAGCCGACCUGAGAGGGUGAUCGGCCACACUGGAACUGAGACACGGUCCAGACUCCUACGGGAGGCAGCAGUAGGGAAUCUUCCGCAAUGGGCGAAAGCCUGACGGAGCAACGCCGCGUGAGUGAUGAAGGUCUUCGGAUCGUAAAACUCUGUUAUUAGGGAAGAACAUAUGUGUAAGUAACUGUGCACAUCUUGACGGUACCUAAUCAGAAAGCCACGGCUAACUACGUG